Molecule: ribosomal RNA, 292 nt
Filed under: uncultured bacterium
Lineage: Bacteria
Also listed under: 1 other name
Description: partial 16S ribosomal RNA
Source: RNAcentral
GGACUACUAGGGUAUCUAAUCCUGUUUGCUCCCCACGCUUUCGCACCUGAGCGUCAGUCUUCGUCCAGGGGGCCGCCUUCGCCACCGGUAUUCCUCCAGAUCUCUACGCAUUUCACCGCUACACCUGGAAUUCUACCCCCCUCUACGAGACUCAAGCCUGCCAGUUUCAAAUGCAGUUCCCAGGUUAAGCCCGGGGAUUUCACAUCUGACUUAACAGACCGCCUGCGUGCGCUUUACGCCCAGUAAUUCCGAUUAACGCUUGCACCCUCCGUAUUACCGCGGCUGCUGGCAC